Molecule: ribosomal RNA, 555 nt
Filed under: Triticum aestivum (bread wheat)
Lineage: Eukaryota; Viridiplantae; Streptophyta; Magnoliopsida; Poales; Poaceae
Description: partial small subunit ribosomal RNA
Source: RNAcentral
AUGGAUAGGCAAAGCACAUCAUCUCCGGUCUACAACAACGACGACGAGUUCGAUGCUAUGAAGAACUUCAUCGACACCAAGAUGGAAAAGCGCAUGCAGGAGCUCAAGGCCCUCAUCAAGAACCGCAAGUGGUCUUCCUCAUCUUCGAGAAGACGCUCAAGUGCAAAGAAUCCCGAGCUACCAUCUCCGGCAAGUACACACAAGCAUCAACAUCGACAGGACCAUGAAGAGCGACGUUCUGGACGAGAGUUGGCUUCUCUACCAACCCCGUCCACACGGGCCCUCGACCCCCGUGCACACGGCCUCCUGCACCCCCGUGCAGACGGGCUCUACAGAACCGUGACAUCAACUAUAAGACUACGGCUUCUUCAACACCUUUGGCAUCUUUGCCAAGUGACUUCAAGGCAUCUUCGCCUUCGGACGUACGACAUCUUCGCCUACUCCGCGAGCUCAAGUCCACUACUCCCUCGAGCUACUACGACCUCGACAUCGACCAUGCAAUUCCUUUCUAUGGGACUCAAGAACCCGAGGAGUACCUCGAGUGGGAGCGUUUGA